RNAcentral lists this unclassified non-coding RNA (335 nucleotides) under soil metagenome. Its description in RNAcentral is "partial contains 5.8S ribosomal RNA, internal transcribed spacer 2, and large subunit ribosomal RNA". The stretch from base 1 to 121 matches the Rfam family "5.8S ribosomal RNA", at positions 35 to 154 of the family's 154-position model. The record is from RNAcentral.
GAUGAAGAAACGUAGCGAAAUGCGAUAAGUAAUGUGAAUUGCAGAAUUCAGUGAAUCAUCGAAUCUUUGAACGCACAUUGCGCCCAUUAGUAUUCUAGUGGGCAUGCCUGUUCGAGCGUCAUUUCAACCCUUAAGCCUAGCUUAGUAUUGGGAAUCGACUUUACUGUCGUUCCUCAAAUUCAACGGCGGAUUUAUAGCAAUCUCUGAACGUAGUAAUUUUUUUUCUCGUUUUUGAAAUACUAUAAACCUCAGCCGCUAAACCCCCAAUUUCUUAUGGUUGACCUCGGAUCAGGUAGGAAUACCCGCUGAACUUAAGCAUAUCAAUAAGCGGAGGA